Molecule: ribosomal RNA, 253 nt
Filed under: uncultured bacterium
Lineage: Bacteria
Description: partial 16S ribosomal RNA
Rfam family: Archaeal small subunit ribosomal RNA
Source: RNAcentral
UACCAGCACCCCGAGUGGUCGGGACGUUUAUUGGGCCUAAAGCAUCCGUAGCCGGUUCUACAAGUCUUCCGUUAAAUCCAACUGCUUAACAGGUGGGCUGCGGAAGAUACUAUAGAGCUAGGAGGCGGGAGAGGCAAGCGGUACUCGAUGGGUAGGGGUAAAAUCCGUUGAUCCAUUGAAGACCACCAGUGGCGAAGGCGGCUUGCCAGAACGCGCUCGACGGUGAGGAUGAAAGCUGGGGGAGCAAACCGGG